AAUAAAUGAUUUCUUCUUCACCCUACCCAUCUGGGCUGCAAUUUUCCCUAAUCGAAAUGGAAGAUCGAAAGCCAGAAAACAGCAGAUAGAAAUAGCAAAUUGGUUCUCAUUAUUUCUCUCUGAUUUUACAGGUAUUAAGGCACGAAAAUGGCAUCAAACACUUCAUACGAGACUUCAUGGGCUGAUCAAUGGGACCCAGAGUCCCUCUACACUACUUAUGACACCAAGAAAUCCAAUAAUGGCGGCGGUGCAUCUACCAAAUUCUUCUCCACUGUCAGUGACAUGUUUCAUAAAACUAAGGCAGUGGCUUCUACUAGCGUCGUGAAAGUUAAAGAUGGAGCCUCCACUGGUAUUCAAUGGAUCAAAGACAAGUGUCAUAUGAGAAAUCAAAUGGACCACUAGCCCGGGGACCUUUUCUAUCAUAGUGAUAUUCUGUUGUUUAUUAAUUUCUUAAUUAGUUUAAUCCCUUCGUAGUUUGUAUUUGUUUGAAGCGAUUAUUAGGCAUUUUCAUGUAGGUUGCUGCCGGUGUUAAUGGCUGAAUUUUUGCUGUGGAGGCAGGUUGGGGAUGGGUAGGGUGAAGAAGAAACCAUUUAUUGGGAAAAUUGCA
This 607-nucleotide long non-coding RNA is filed under the name Olea europaea (common olive). RNAcentral's name for it is "long non-coding RNA (OEUR_LNC005914)". The record is from RNAcentral. Lineage: Eukaryota; Viridiplantae; Streptophyta; Magnoliopsida; Lamiales; Oleaceae.